GGACACCUCAGUCAUGGACUGUCAGUACUGGGGAUCGAACCAGCAACCUUCUGGUUACAGGGCCAGUUCCCUAACCUUCAGCCCAGGGUUUCUGAGUAAAAGCGCUGUGGGUCGGCGAGGGCAGCCGCAGGCUUGUGUGGUCCUGUAGAGGUUUGGUGAGGUGUAGUCUGGGUUAGAAUCAGCGGUUCUCCACCAUGGUCCUGAAGUCACCCCUGUUCUGCACAGAUUUGUGGUGUCCAGCUAUAACAAGCUCAAACUCAGCUCAGGAAGGGCUUGUUGUUUAGCCAGUUAGCUGGCUCAGCAGUUUUAGAGCAGGAAACAAUAACAUGUGCUGGACAGGAGAACAGAGUUCAGAACCACUGGAAUAAAGUGACCGCAGUGCGCGCUCAGUAGAAAUGGACACUGGUUGAAUGAUCAAACACAACGAGAUGUCUUUCACAUUAAUGCUCUCCACUGCAGAGCCGAGUGGACCAUCUCUCUGUGACAGAGGCUCUUCUUUUUCCUUUUGUGUUGUGACAGAGAUAUUCUGUCACCAAAUGUCACCCCCCCUCUCUCUCCCUCUCUCUCUCCCUCACUCCCUCUCCCUCUCUCUCUCUGCACCUCUCUCCCUCACUCCCUCUCCCUCUCUCUCUCCACCUCUCUCCCUCACUCCCUCUCCCUCUCUCUCUCUGCACCUCUCUCCCUCACUCCCUCUCCCUCUCUCUCUCUCCACCUCUCUCCCUCACUCCCUCUCCCUCUCUCUCUCUCUGCACCUCUCUCCCUCACUCCCUCUCCCUCUCUCUCUCUCCCCACCUAUCUCCCUCUCUCCCUCUCCCUCUCUCUCUGCACCUCUCUCCCUCACUCCCUCUCCCUCUCUCUCUCUCCACCUCUCUCCCUCACUCCCUCUCCCUCUCUCUCUCUCCCUCUCUCUCUCCCUCACUCCCUCUCCCUCUCUCUCUCUGCACCUCUCUCCCUCACUCCCUCUCCCUCUCUCUCUCCACCUCUCUCCCUCACUCCCUCUCCCUCUCUCUCUCUCUGCACCUCUCUCCCUCACUCCCUCUCCCUCUCUCUCUCUGCACCUCUCUCCCUCACUCCCUCUCCCUCUCUCUCUCUCUGCACCUCUCUCCCUCACUCCCUCUCCCUCUCUCUCUCUCUGCACCUCUCUCCCUCACUCCCUCUCCCUCUCUCUCUCUGCACCUCUCUCCCUCACUCCCUCUCCCUCUCUCUCUCCCCACCUCUCUCCCUCACUCCCUCUCCCUCUCUCUCUCUCCACCUCUCUCCCUCACUCCCUCUCCCUCUCUCUCUCUCCACCUCUCUCCCUCACUCCCUCUCCCUCUCUCUCUCCACCUCUCUCCCUCACUCCCUCUCCCUCUCUCUCUCCACCUCUCUCCCUCACUCCCUCUCCCUCUCUCUCGCCACCUCUCUCCCUCACUCCCUCUCCCUCUCUCUCUCUCUCCCUCUCUCUGUCCCCCCUUUCUCUCUCUCUCUCCCUCUCCCACUCACUGCCCCCCCUCUCUCCCUCCUUCCUUCUCUCUCUCUCCUUCCCUCCUUCUCUCUCUCUCUUUCUCCCCCCCUUCCUUCUGCCCCCUCCCUCCCUUAAAAACAACACAUUCUGUCUCUGAACAGACACAUCAGUGUAUUCAGUUGGAGACACAAUUUGUUUUACUUUUAAGACUAAAUAUUUUGAAAUAUUUCUAUACCCAGUUAUGAAAAACACAGUUUGGGUCCUUUUUAAACACAGC
This is a long non-coding RNA of Pygocentrus nattereri (red-bellied piranha), 1721 nucleotides long. The record is from Ensembl. NCBI's taxonomy places the organism in Eukaryota, Metazoa, Chordata, Actinopteri, Characiformes, Serrasalmidae.